GGUGGGGGGUUGCAAGCCCGAGGAGCGGUGGCAUCCGCUGCAUGAUGCAAAAAGAAGGAUUGAUUUCAAAAGUUGCGAGUGGCCCUGGCAGCAGCCUUUGGCGCCCGGGCCACCGACUUUUUCCCGACCCGCCGGAAGCGCCGGGAAGGUUUUUUCCGCCCCCCGCACGCAACCUGGCGGGGCUGCGGCCGCGGGAUGCGCGGUACCUGCUCCGCGAGCGCCGCGGUCGGAGCGCGCGGGGAGACAAUGCCUGUGGGCACGGCCUGCAGUCCGGAGCCUAGGAGGCGAACCAGAAAGCCCUGGACGCUCGGUCCACGCGGACUCCCACGCCCUCGCCCUCCCAUUGUUCCGCGUGGCCCGCGGGUUCCUUGGCGCCUUCGUGAACUACGCGAAUGUCGCGCGGAGUUCCUCGAACGUUGCCUGGGCUUGGGAGGAAGUCUCGAGAAAAAUCCACAGCUUUCCCCGUUACAUUGUUUGUCCCUCACGUGUCCGAGUAAACAUGGCAGCCCCCGGGCCGUACGUGCUUGAAUUGACCAAGGCUGGGGCCGGGGAGAACUUCUCGGGGUGUCGUCUUUCUCCUGAGUUGUUGAGGGAACUAACGCAAAAAAUGCCUUCAGACGGCAUGUUUCAGGCAACUGACUGGUGUGGAGGAACAUCGACAAACUUUUCUGGAAUGUGCUGGCAUUUUCCAAAUUCUUUGGGGAUGGACAUAGGGACCUUUUACAUAAAAGGGUAACCCAGCCAGGCAUUAUGGGGGCGCAUCAGGUUUGAAGGCUCUGCGGAUGCCCUAUUCUCAAAAAAAAUUUCUAUUUGCCAGUUCCCACCCUGGAUUUGAAACAAGAUGCGGGUGCAAAGGGAUGCCACCUUGAUGCCAGGCGCCUCCUGCCUUUGUGUCCUUUCUCCUCACCACCCCCCCUCCCGCAAUCAGCUUGCAAUGCGUUAAGACCAGCGUGGCCCUGCGGUUGACAAGCCACACUGCAGGACGUCAGGGAAAGAGGAGCCAGGCCUUCGAUCUUCUCUUUCAGAAAUUGAUUUUGCCUUUUGGACCAUGUGAGUUAGGGAGGGAGGAAGAGCUUAAGCGCUCCCCCCCCCAAAAAAAAAUAUUUAAUAAUAGGAAAAAAAGAUUUUGAUGGGCGGGGAAGGGGAAGCAGUAGAGGCCAAUGCUGCCUCCAGAUUUUUUUUUUUUUUUUUUUUGUAAGUUGCUUGCUUUGCUGGUGACAAUAUUGGAGGAUGCUCUGACUUCUACAGGGACCCAUUCCUAAUUAAGAGGAGUCCUACUGAAAGCAGGGGGAGUGCAGCAGAGGAUUUGCUGGGCUUUGCAAAGGAGAGGAAGCAGCAGAAAAAGAUUCCUUCCUGGCUCCAAGACUUCUAGUUUGGGAGGACUGAGUGGACAGAGCUGCCACUGACGAUGCCAGAAUUACUGGAAAGUGAAACACGUUUAGGGGCUGAGUUUGUGUUUGGAAAGGUUCAAUUCCUGGCUUGCCAGAGAGUUGUUGCAAAAGGGAAUUGAGAUAGCCCGAAGAAGAGAGGCUGCAGGGAAAAAGUAGAGGAGAGCUUGGACAAAGCUCUGCAGAAUGAAAUCAAAAGGCUGGGGCGCCCAGAGACCCUUCGAUGGAGCUCCUCCUUGCCCAGUUGCCCUGACUGGACCUCCAAAACCACCCAGGUGGAGACCGUGUUGACCAACCCACAGAUGCAUUGACUGAUCUGGAGCCAGCAUAUACACUCUUGGGCUCAGGUCAUCCAGCAGACCCUUCAUCCCUUUGUCACACAAGCCCCUCCCACAGGUACUGCUUGCCUCUCUGUUUCCUCUCUGUCACCUGGCAGCCUGCAUCCUCCCCAAUCCAGGGAGCCACCUGCCCUGGUUCUCAGGUUCUGAUGGCUCAAUCUGAGUUAGGGUUCUCCUGGGUUCCAUUGCUGCUUGAGACCUAUUGAAAAGAUCAGCCACCCUUGAAAGGUUACCUCUAGCACGUAUAACUUGUGUCUGCCCACCCCCCAAAACCUGUGUGGAAAUCUUAGCAUCUGUCCUGUGUAUGUGGCCUCAUUUGGAAAUGGGACCCUUUAUGGUUUGGGCAGUAGUGUGAGUGUCCCCCAAAGGUUCAUGUGUUAAGGGCCUCAUCCCCAGAAUUUUAUAUUACUGGAUUAAGGAUCCAACUUGAUCCAGUUGUGUCGGAAGCUGGGGCCUUUGGGAAGUGAUUGGAUUGUACUGGGAGACAGGGAGAACCUUGUGCUUGAGUCAGGAUGGCUUCAGGAGGGGAGACCACACGGAUGAGCAUGGUCCCUGUCUCUGCUUCCUGGCUCGCCACCGUGUCACUCUCCCUCCACAUCCACUGCCCUCCACAGAGGCCAGAACCGUAGAGCCACCUGAUCUUGGACUGCAAACCCCCAAAACCAUGGGUCAAAAUAAACCUUCCUCCUCUCGGGUGUGUUAGUUGUGAUAACAAAAAGCUAACACCAGGUCUUUGUGGAUAUAAUGAAAUUAAAAUGAAGUAGCUGGUGUCUGUGUAUGAAAGAGAGGUUCGGAGACAGACACUGGGAAGACAGCCAUGUGAAAACCAAGAUGGAGACGGCAGCACUGCGGCUGCCGGGUGCCAGGGCCCACCAAAGACCACCAGCAAACAGAAGCUGAGAAGAGGCAGGGAAGGGUUGUUUCCUGGAGACUUCAAUGCAGUGCAGCACCACUGAUGCCUUGAUCUUGAACUUCCAGCGUCCAGCGCUGGGAGGGGAUAUGUGUCUGUCGUUUUAAGCCAGCCAGUUGGUGGUACUUUUCCACAGCGGCCACUGGAAAUGAAUCCAGCAGGUCCGAGCGCUCAAGCUGUCCAGCUCUCCCAUCGUCCAUUGCUUCCUUAUGCUGUUGGAGUCAUGGCCAUUUGCAAGCAGCCCCUGGCCUCUUGGCAUGGGAUGGGGACGCGCAUUGUUGUGACUGACACCUGGCCUCUGCCUUCUGCCUCUACUCAGCCCUCGCUGUUCUGGAAACUGGGGAGUAAACGAACAAACGGAUGGGCCGGCAUUGUGGUGUAGUGCUUUAAGUCGCCGCCUGUGAUACUGGCAUCCCGUAUGAGCGCCAGUUUGAGUCCCAGCUGCUCCACUGCUGAUCCAGCUCCCUGCUAAUGCACCUGGGAAAGCAGCAGAAGAUAGUCCAAGUGCUUGGACCCUUGCACCCACGCGGAAGAUCCAGAUGAGGCUCCUGGCUUCUGUAUGGUCUUGCCUUGUUCAUUGUGGCCUUUUGGGGAGUAAACCAGCAGAUGGAAGAUCUCUCCCUCUGUAAC
Molecule: non-coding RNA, 3266 nt
Organism: Oryctolagus cuniculus (rabbit)
Lineage: Eukaryota; Metazoa; Chordata; Mammalia; Lagomorpha; Leporidae
Source: RefSeq, a predicted model, not a curated record